RNAcentral lists this ribosomal RNA (254 nucleotides) under uncultured bacterium. RNAcentral describes it as "partial 16S ribosomal RNA". It matches the Rfam family "Bacterial small subunit ribosomal RNA", at positions 524 to 776 of the family's 1533-position model. The record is from RNAcentral.
UACGAAGGGGGCGAGCGUUGUUCGGAUUUACUGGGCGUAAAGGGCGCGUAGGCGGUCAGCACAAGUCAGUUGUGAAAUCUCCGGGCUUAACUCGGAAAGGUCAACUGAUACUGUGCGACUAGAGUGCAGAAGGGGCAACUGGAAUUCUCGGUGUAGCGGUGAAAUGCGUAGAUAUCGAGAGGAACACCUGCGGCGAAGGCGGGUUGCUGGGCUGACACUGACGCUGAUGCGCGAAAGCCAGGGGAGCGAACGGG